AGAGCGAACGCUGGCGGCAGGCCUAACACAUGCAAGUCGAACGAACUCUUCGGAGUUAGUGGCGGACGGGUGAGUAACACGUGGGAACGUGCCUUUAGGUUCGGAAUAACUCAGGGAAACUUGUGCUAAUACCGAAUGUGCCCUUCGGGGGAAAGAUUUAUCGCCAUUGGAUGGGCCCGCGUCGGAUUAGCUAGUUGGUAAGGUAAUGGCUUACCAAGGCUACGAUCCGUAGCUGGUCUGAGAGGAUGAUCAGCCACACUGGGACUGAGACACGGCCCAGACUCCGUACGGGCGCAGCAGGUAGGGAAUCGUGGACAAGUGGGACGAAAGCCUGAUCCAGCCAUGCCGUGUGAGUGAAGAGGCCUUAGGGUGUAAGCUACGUUUGGAGGGACGAUAAGUCGGACGGUACCCG
RNAcentral lists this ribosomal RNA (412 nucleotides) under uncultured soil bacterium. Its description in RNAcentral is "bacterial SSU rRNA". It matches the Rfam family "Bacterial small subunit ribosomal RNA", at positions 26 to 466 of the family's 1533-position model. The record is from RNAcentral.